RNAcentral lists this long non-coding RNA (359 nucleotides) under Prunus persica (peach). RNAcentral's name for it is "long non-coding RNA (PPER_LNC000469)". The record is from RNAcentral. Lineage: Eukaryota; Viridiplantae; Streptophyta; Magnoliopsida; Rosales; Rosaceae.
GCCACUUUAACUUUCAGGGGGCAAUGUGAGAUUUGACCAUAGUUUUAAGGGGCACUAUAGUAAAUAAGCCAAUAACUAAUUUUUGGGGCCUAAUAAUAACAAGCAUAAUUCAAACUUAUUUGCUAGUUGUCCUCAAAAGUCAUGAUCCAAAAUCCACUAGCUAACUAGUCUCUCCAAUCUAUCAAAAUAUUUCAUUCAUUUAUAGAAUAUAAGAUACUUGAUAAAACAAACCAAAAAACAUGAAGCUCUCAACGGCAAAUAUUUCAUUCAUUGAUAGAAUCUAAGAUAUUUAAUGAGCCUACUUCCAUACAAAGUUAUCCAUUAUUUUCAGCAAAUGAAGACUGGCAUGUCAAUCAUUG